CAAUAGCGUAUAUUAAAGUUGUUGCGGUUAAAAAGCUCGUAGUUGGAGUUCUGCCAGGUGACACUCGUCCGCCCAAGUGGUGUGUACAGGGUGUGCAUCUGGCCCUUUCAAGGGGAACGUGUCUGCACUUCAUUGUGUGGUGCGAGAUCCUUGACUUUUACUUUGAGGAAAUAAGAGUGUUCCAAGCAGGCUCUCGUCGUGCAUAGCUCAGCAUGGAAUAAUAGCAUUGGACUUCGUUUCUACGCUGUUGGUUGCAAGAAGCGAGGUAAUGAUGAAGAGGGAUAGUUGGGGGCAUUCGUAUUUAACUGUCAGAGGUGAAAUUCUUGGAUUUGUUAAAGACAGACUACUGCGAAAGCAUCUGCCAUGGAUGUUUUCAUUGA
Molecule: ribosomal RNA, 380 nt
Filed under: uncultured eukaryote
Lineage: Eukaryota
Description: partial 18S ribosomal RNA
Rfam family: Eukaryotic small subunit ribosomal RNA
Source: RNAcentral